This 596-nucleotide ribosomal RNA is filed under the name uncultured bacterium. Its description in RNAcentral is "bacterial SSU rRNA". It matches the Rfam family "Bacterial small subunit ribosomal RNA", at positions 112 to 704 of the family's 1533-position model. The record is from RNAcentral.
AAUACAUCGGAACGUGCCUAGUAGUGGGGGAUAACUACUCGAAAGAGUGGCUAAUACCGCAUGAGAUCUACGGAUGAAAGCAGGGGAUCGCAAGACCUUGUGCUACUAGAGCGGCCGAUGGCAGAUUAGGUAGUUGGUGGGAUAAAAGCUUACCAAGCCGACGAUCUGUAGCUGGUCUGAGAGGACGAUCAGCCACACUGGGACUGAGACACGGCCCAGACUCCUACGGGAGGCAGCAGUGGGGAAUUUUGGACAAUGGGCGCAAGCCUGAUCCAGCAAUGCCGCGUGCAGGAUGAAGGCCUUCGGGUUGUAAACUGUUUUUGUACGGAACGAAAAGCCCUGGGUUAAUACCCUGGGGUCAUGACGGUACCGUAAGAAUAAGCACCGGCUAACUACGUGCCAGCAGCCGCGGUAAUACGUAGGGUGCGAGCGUUAAUCGGAAUUACUGGGCGUAAAGCGUGCGCAGGCGGUUUUGUAAGACAGAGGUGAAAUCCCCGGGCUCAACCUGGGAACUGCCUUUGUGACUGCAAGGCUAGAGUACGGCAGAGGGGGAUGGAAUUCCGCGUGUAGCAGUGAAAUGCGUAGAUAUGCGGAGG